Non-coding RNA from Leptonychotes weddellii (Weddell seal), 558 nucleotides. The record is from RefSeq and is a predicted model, not a curated record. NCBI's taxonomy places the organism in Eukaryota, Metazoa, Chordata, Mammalia, Carnivora, Phocidae.
GGGUCCGCACCGGGCGCCUCAGCCUGCGGCGCCUCGGCUGAGUCCGCCUGCUCCUGCGCGUCCUCAGGGCGAGCUGCAGCGACGGGCUCCAAGCCUGACUCCUCGGCGGCGGCUGCUGGAGCUGCGAGCUCCGGCACCAGCUCCUUUUCAUCUAGACAGAGGACCAGCUCUCUUUUCGGCAGGAGGAAGGCAAGAGGCUCCUGGACGAGGCCGAUGUUCACAUGCCCAAGGUUUCCGUACUUGGAGAGCUGAGUGGGUGGAAUGCCUGACCCAGAAGGUCUGUGCUAUCUGAGCUGGUGGAAAAAGGACUUGGAGACAGCGAUUUAAAUAAGGAACAAGGUCUUCCAGGAAGACAGUGCAGAACUGGACAAAGAGCUCUUGCUCCCCACUGCUGAAAGCAGCCUCUUCUGCGCGAUGGAAGGCCAGGAUUGUUUUGGUUACCUAGGAGACAAGGGCACCAUCAGUCACUAGAGUAGUCUAUCACCAUCAGCAGUACCUGAAACUAAGCACAAAUGUGCAGCCCUCAAGUUUUCAUAAAGAAAGUCAUUCCAAACAGUA